This 253-nucleotide ribosomal RNA is filed under the name uncultured Acidobacteriota bacterium. Its description in RNAcentral is "uncultured Acidobacteria bacterium partial 16S ribosomal RNA". It matches the Rfam family "Bacterial small subunit ribosomal RNA", at positions 524 to 776 of the family's 1533-position model. Lineage: Bacteria; Pseudomonadati; Acidobacteriota. The record is from RNAcentral.
UACGUAGGCAGCGAGCGUUGUUCGGAGUUACUGGGCGUAAAGAGUGCGUAGGCGGUUUCGUAAGUCUGGUGUGAAAUCUCCCGGCUCAACUGGGAGGGUGCGCCGGAAACUGCGGAGCUGGAGUGUGGGAGGGGCAAGCGGAAUUCCUGGUGUAGCGGUGAAAUGCGUAGAUAUCAGGAGGAACACCUGCGGUGUAGACGGCUUGCUGGACCACUACUGACGCUGAGGCACGAAAGCGUGGGGAGCAAACAGG